This 494-nucleotide ribosomal RNA is filed under the name uncultured bacterium. RNAcentral's name for it is "partial 16S ribosomal RNA". It matches the Rfam family "Bacterial small subunit ribosomal RNA", at positions 30 to 506 of the family's 1533-position model. The record is from RNAcentral.
UGAACGCUGGCGGCGUGCCUAAUACAUGCAAGUCGAGCGACCAGACGAGGAGCUUGCUCCUCUGACGUUAGCGGCGGACGGGUGAGUAACACGUGGAUAACCUACCUAUAAGACUGGGAUAACUUCGGGAAACCGGAGCUAAUACCGGAUAAUAUAUUGAACCGCAUGGUUCAAUAGUGAAAGACGGUUUUGCUGUCACUUAUAGAUGGAUCCGCGCCGCAUUAGCUAGUUGGUAAGGUAACGGCUUACCAAGGCAACGAUGCGUAGCCGACCUGAGAGGGUGAUCGGCCACACUGGAACUGAGACACGGUCCAGACUCCUACGGGAGGCAGCAGUAGGGAAUCUUCCGCAAUGGGCGAAAGCUUGACGGAGCAACGCCGCGUGAGUGAUGAAGGUCUUCGGAUCGUAAAACUCUGUUAUUAGGGAAGAACAAAUGUGUAAGUAACUAUGCACGUCUUGACGGUACCUAAUCAGAAAGCCACGGCUAACUACGU